This 469-nucleotide ribosomal RNA is filed under the name uncultured bacterium. Its description in RNAcentral is "partial 16S ribosomal RNA". It matches the Rfam family "Bacterial small subunit ribosomal RNA", at positions 28 to 507 of the family's 1533-position model. The record is from RNAcentral.
GACGAACGCUGGCGGCGUGCUUAACACAUGCAAGUCGAACGGAAAGGCCCUGCUUGCAGGGUGCUCGAGUGGCGAACGGGUGAGUAACACGUGGGUGAUCUGCCCCUUACUUUGGGAUAAGCCUGGGAAACUGGGUCUAAUACUGGAUAGGACCAUGCUGUAGGUGGUGUGGUGGAAAGAUUAGUUUCGGUAAGGGAUGAGCUCGCGGCCUAUCAGCUUGUUGGCGGGGUAAUGGCCUACCAAGGCGUCGACGGGUAGCCGGCCUGAGAGGGUGGACGGCCACAUUGGGACUGAGAUACGGCCCAGACUCCUACGGGAGGCAGCAGAGAGGAAUAUUGCACAAUGGGCGCAAGCCUGAUGCAGCGACGCCGCGUGGGGGAUGACGGCCUUCGGGUUGUAAACUCCUUUCAGCCAUGACGAAGCCCUUGUGGUGACGGUAGUGGUAGAAGAAGCACCGGCUAACUACGUG